GACGAACGCUGGCGGCGUGCUUAACACAUGCAAGUCGAACGGAAAGACCCUGCUUUUGUGGGGUGCUCGAGUGGCGAACGGGUGAGUAACACGUGAGUAACCUGCCCUUGACUUUGGGAUAACUUCAGGAAACUGGGGCUAAUACCGGAUAGGAGCUCCUGCUGCAUGGUAGGUGUUGGAAAGUUUCGGCGGUUGGGGAUGGACUCGCGGCUUAUCAGCUUGUUGGUGGGGUAGUGGCUUACCAAGGCUCUGACGGGUAGCCGGCCUGAGAGGGUGACCGGCCACAUUGGGACUGAGAUACGGCCCAGACUCAUACGGGGGCAGCAGUGGGGAAUAUUGCACAAUGGGCGGAAGCCUGAUGCAGCAACGCCGCGUGCGGGAUGACGGCCUUCGGGUUGUAAACCGCUUUCGACUGUGACGAAGCGUGAGUGACGGUAAUGGGUAAAGAAGCACCGGCUAACUACGUG
Molecule: ribosomal RNA, 467 nt
Filed under: uncultured bacterium
Lineage: Bacteria
Description: partial 16S ribosomal RNA
Rfam family: Bacterial small subunit ribosomal RNA
Source: RNAcentral